UGGGGAAUAUUGGACAAUGGGCGCAAGCCUGACCCAGCAAUGCCGCGUGAGUGAUGAAGGCCUUCGGGUUGUAAAGCUCUUUCGCCUGCGAGGAUGAUGACGGUAGCAGGAGAAGAAGCCCCGGCUAACUUCGUGCCAGCAGCCGCGGUAAUACGAAGGGGGCGAGCGUUGUUCGGAUUUACUGGGCGUAAAGGGCGCGUAGGCGGCGAUCUAAGUCAGGCGUGAAAGCCCCGGGCUCAACCUGGGAGGUGCGCUUGGGACUAGAUUGCUGGAGUUCGGGAGAGGAGCGUGGAAUUCCCAGUGUAGAGGUGAAAUUCGUAGAUAUUGGGAAGAACACCGGUGGCGAAGGCGGCGCUCUGGACCGAUACUGACGCUGAGGCGCGAAAGCGUGGGGAGCAAACAGGAUUAGAUACCCUGGUAGUCCACGCUGUAAACGAUGUGUGCUAGACGUUGGGGAGCCUAGCUCUUCGGUGUCGCCGCUAACGCUGUAAGCACACCGCCUGGGGAGUACGGCCGCAAGGUUA
RNAcentral lists this ribosomal RNA (524 nucleotides) under uncultured bacterium. Its description in RNAcentral is "bacterial SSU rRNA". It matches the Rfam family "Bacterial small subunit ribosomal RNA", at positions 355 to 896 of the family's 1533-position model. The record is from RNAcentral.